Molecule: ribosomal RNA, 410 nt
Filed under: uncultured microorganism
Description: bacterial SSU rRNA
Rfam family: Bacterial small subunit ribosomal RNA
Source: RNAcentral
GAGUUUGAUCCUGGCUCAGAUUGAACGCUGGCGGCAUGCCUUACACAUGCAAGUCGAACGGUAACAGGUCUUCGGAUGCUGACGAGUGGCGAACGGGUGAGUAAUACAUCGGAACGUGCCCAGACGUGGGGGAUAACGAGGCGAAAGCUUUGCUAAUACCGCAUACGAUCUAAGGAUGAAAGCAGGGGACCGCAAGGCCUUGCGCGUUUGGAGCGGCCGAUGGCAGAUUAGGUAGUUGGUGGGAUAAAAGCUUACCAAGCCGACGAUCUGUAGCUGGUCUGAGAGGACGACCAGCCACACUGGGACUGAGACACGGCCCAGACUCCUACGGGAGGCAGCAGUGGGGAAUUUUGGACAAUGGGCGAAAGCCUGAUCCAGCAAUGCCGCGUGCAGGAUGAAGGCCUCGGUUG